AUGUUCCGGUGGGGCAAGAGCACCAAGAACCCAGCUCCGGCCGCCGGGGAGGAGGUGGCGGUGCAGAAGGUGGAGAAGAUCGAGUUCCACAACCUCGUCCACAUCAAGCCUCCCGUCCGCGCCGGCGGCGGGGCCAUCGGCAACGCGUGGAAGCCACAGCCACGGACGGCGAGUGCCGACAGCUCCGGCGCGGCGAGGAAGCCCGACAGCCCCGGAGACGACAUCAACUCGAGGGCGGGCAGGUUCAUCGAGGACACUAAGAAGCGGUGGCGCCUCGGCGUCAAGUCAUUCGGCGGCCGUUAG
Molecule: ribosomal RNA, 303 nt
Filed under: Triticum aestivum (bread wheat)
Lineage: Eukaryota; Viridiplantae; Streptophyta; Magnoliopsida; Poales; Poaceae
Description: partial small subunit ribosomal RNA
Source: RNAcentral